CAAAAGGUGGCUGAGUGAUAAAGGCGUUAGAUUGUAAAUCUAUUCACGGGUUUUCCCUCUUUUGA
RNAcentral lists this transfer RNA (65 nucleotides) under Eochionelasmus ohtai. RNAcentral describes it as "tRNA-Tyr". It matches the Rfam family "tRNA". From Rfam's summary of the family: Transfer RNA (tRNA) molecules are approximately 80 nucleotides in length. Lineage: Eukaryota; Metazoa; Arthropoda; Thecostraca; Balanomorpha; Pachylasmatidae. The record is from RNAcentral.